UACGUAGGGGGCAAGCGUUGUCCGGAAUCAUUGGGCGUAAAGCGCGUGUAGGCGGCUCGAUAAGUCUGCUGUGAAAGUUCAGGGCUCAACCCUGAAAUGCCGGUGGAAACUGUCGAGCUAGAGUCCGGAAGAGGUGAGUGGAAUUCCUGGUGUAGCGGUGAAAUGCGCAGAUAUCAGGAGGAACACCAAUGGCGAAGGCAGCUCACCGGGACGGUACUGACGCUGAGACGCGAAAGCGUGGGGAGCAAACAGG
RNAcentral lists this ribosomal RNA (253 nucleotides) under uncultured bacterium. RNAcentral describes it as "partial 16S ribosomal RNA". It matches the Rfam family "Bacterial small subunit ribosomal RNA", at positions 524 to 776 of the family's 1533-position model. The record is from RNAcentral.